AAUUGGAGGGCAAGUCUGGUGCCAGCAGCCGCGGUAAUUCCAGCUCCAAUAGCGUAUAUUAAAGUUGUUGCAGUUAAAAAGCUCGUAGUUGAAUUCCGGGAUCGAUGGGUCGGUCAUGCCCUCGGUAUGUACUGGCCUCAUUGGUUCUCACCUUCUAAGGAACCAUGAUGUCAUUCGGUUGAUGUUGUGGGGAAUUAGGACUGUUACCUUGAAAAAAUUAGAGUGUUUAAAGCAGGCCAACGCUUGAAUACAUUAGCAUGGAAUAAUGAAAUAGGACAUCCGAUUCUAUUUUGUUGGUUUCUAGGAUCGAUGUAAUGAUUAAUAGGGAUAGUUGGGGGCAUUAGUAUUCAAUUGUCAGAGGUGAAAUUCUUGGAUUUAUUGAAGACUAACUACUGCGAAAGCAUUUGCCAAGGAUGUUUUCAUUAAUCAAGAACGAAAGUUAGGGGAUCGAAGACGAUCAGAUACCGUCGUAGUCUUAACCAUAAACUAUGCCGACUAGGGAUCGGAUGAUGCUUAUUUUUUAAUGACUCAUUCGGCACCUUACGGGAAACCAAAGUGU
RNAcentral lists this ribosomal RNA (559 nucleotides) under uncultured Glomus. RNAcentral describes it as "SSU rRNA". It matches the Rfam family "Eukaryotic small subunit ribosomal RNA", at positions 546 to 1106 of the family's 1831-position model. The record is from RNAcentral. Lineage: Eukaryota; Fungi; Glomeromycota; Glomeromycetes; Glomerales; Glomeraceae.